UGAUUUGAGAGUGAUCUGGCUGAGAUAUCUAUCACCCCACCGAUUACCAGGGUUCAUUUGACUGAUUUGGUUGGCUAGACAGGUGUCCCCUUCCUCCCUCACCACUCCAUGUGAGUCUCUCCAAAAGCUGGGCACUCUGUCAAAGAGGAUGAACAUCCCCGAUAGAGGAGGAACAUUUUUUGUUCAAGGGUAUACUAGUAACUGUGCUCCCCUGCUUGUUUGGGAGCAAACAAUCUCCCCAAUGUUCAUAACUCUGAAUAUGUGUUAUCUUACAUACUUAUAAAAUAU
RNAcentral lists this small nuclear RNA (288 nucleotides) under Castor canadensis (American beaver). RNAcentral's name for it is "7SK RNA (ENSCCNG00000011828.1)". It matches the Rfam family "7SK RNA". Rfam says of the family: 7SK was discovered as an abundant small nuclear RNA in the mid-70s but a possible function has only recently been suggested. Two independent studies have found that 7SK RNA binds the CDK9/cyclin T complex (known as elongation factor P-TEFb). The record is from Rfam by way of RNAcentral. Lineage: Eukaryota; Metazoa; Chordata; Mammalia; Rodentia; Castoridae.